GCAAUAGCUCAGUGGUAGAGCGCCCGCUUCGUGUGAGGGGGGAGACCUGGGUUCGAUUCCCGGUUGC
Molecule: transfer RNA, 67 nt
Filed under: Toxocara canis (dog roundworm)
Lineage: Eukaryota; Metazoa; Nematoda; Chromadorea; Rhabditida; Toxocaridae
Rfam family: tRNA
About the family: Transfer RNA (tRNA) molecules are approximately 80 nucleotides in length.
Source: Rfam by way of RNAcentral